AGAGAACAGUAGAGUCGUACCCCCAUCUACAAGCUCAGAAUCAUAGGAGUAUAUCAAAGGCUUCAAUUUUCCUCGGGAAUGGAAAUCUUGCAAAAACAGUACUUUGGGAAGAUGCGAAGCAAACUGUGACAGUGCUUCUACUGUUGGCUGUUAUCUACUACCACUUAUUUACAUGUGGUUACACCUUCAUCACAGCGAUGGCAAAGCUUUUGUCACUAACUGCUCUGUUCUUAUUCAUUCAUGGCAUGCUGCCAUCAAAUCUGUUCGGUCACAAGGUUAAGAAACUUGAGGCCUCUAAUUUUCACAUCACACAGGCACAUGCUCAUCAUAUUGCUCAUUCCAUUAGUUCGAAUUGGAACUCUUUAGUCAGUGCGCUAAGAUCUCUUUGUAGAGGAAAUGAUUGGCUAUUGUUUCUCAA
Zea mays is the source of this 418-nucleotide long non-coding RNA. RefSeq lists it as uncharacterized. The transcript has 3 exons. The record is from RefSeq and is a predicted model, not a curated record. NCBI's taxonomy places the organism in Eukaryota, Viridiplantae, Streptophyta, Magnoliopsida, Poales, Poaceae.